RNAcentral lists this non-coding RNA (24 nucleotides) under Arabidopsis thaliana (thale cress). Lineage: Eukaryota; Viridiplantae; Streptophyta; Magnoliopsida; Brassicales; Brassicaceae. The record is from RNAcentral.
ACGGAAGACAUACUCAGUUGCAGU